Molecule: long non-coding RNA, 4409 nt
Organism: Mustela erminea (ermine)
Lineage: Eukaryota; Metazoa; Chordata; Mammalia; Carnivora; Mustelidae
Exons: 3
Source: RefSeq, a predicted model, not a curated record
GGUCCCGCCUCCCGCCGCCGGGCCUCCCUUUACUGAAGCCCAGCCGCGCGCUUGAGGCAGGCUCCUCCGUUCAGUCACGGACUCCGUCACACAGAAUGCCCACCGUCGUACAGCUUCUGCUAUGACGCCAGCGCAGACAAUAAGCAGUUUGUAGGCACACACAGUGAGAGUAAGAGCCAGCAGAGCUGCCUGGCCGGCCGAGAGCUGUUCCCUCACAGCCCACCCGGGAGCGGCCGUCAGGGUGUGCUGUCAGCAGGCCGGGAAGGCGAGGACGGAGGCGCAGCCCGCGCCUGAGGGGGCAGGGCCCCAGCAGCGGCCGUCGGUGUAGGAGGUGGGCACGUUCAUGGGCCUCGCAGGGCCAGAAGGGCAGAGCGGCUGGCACAGAGCGCCUCGGCGGGGAGGCGUCCCGGACCGUGGGAAGAAGGCGGAGCUCCCAGUCCUACAACCGCGGAUGAGGAGGGAAGUUACAGGGACAGUCCCACUAACCAGCUCGGGCGGGGGCGAUCAGGGGGCGCGCCUGGCACCCGCCAGGUUGGAGGAGCCUCUCUGACUUCUGGGACGGGGAAGCCACCGUCGGGAGACGCCGCUGCAGGCACCGCAGACAUAAAGCUGGAGUCCUCGCCACACUCGCGGCCCUUACAACCCGGGGAGGAAGACAGCCCUGGGGGCCUGCACGCAAAGGCAGGGGGCGCAGACUUGGGAUUGGGAAGGUUCCCUGGGUUUCGAGGCCUGUCCUUGCAUUCGGAAGUAGUGUCACCUUGGGCAGGCAGCCUGUUGACGUUCAGCGGCUACAAGUGUCUGAAAACAAAAGGUGCUCAAUAAGAGCACUGCAGGAAGGAAUGAGGGAGUGUCUGGCUCACAGCUGCUGCUCAGGACGGACCGAGCAGCUGGGGCUCUGGGGAGAGGGUGUAACGAUGAGUAAUAAUGAAGUGAGCUCCUGUCCACAAAACACUUGUCACGGGCUUGCCACGUCGUCGGAACAAAAUAAACGGGGACUAUUAUUCUUAACCCUAUUGUGGUAAUUACAUCUGCAAAGCCUCAUUUCAGACGUAACAAUUACUUUGUCAAAUAAAAAGAUUUUAAAUGUUAACACAGGUUCGCCACAUAAUCAGAGACUGAGUUCGCCGUUGACAGCUGAUGCUCCACUUCUCCACUGUGAAAUGCUUGGGAAUUCGCCCUCACUACAAAGUGCAGGAACUUAGAGGUACUUUGCUGAAUCAAAGGGAAGAAAUCGACCUUGAGAGACCACGUGGCCCAUCCCCUGCCUUCAGGCUAAACUGUCUUAACCGUCAGAGAGCAAUGAUUCUGUCUCCACUUUCCAAGACUUCCAGAAAUGAAGCCCGAGUAACCUGCCACAGUAACACACUUGAGCAGCCCUGCCAGAAAGUACUUGUUUCAUGUUUAACCUUAAUCUCUCGUGAGACACUCAGAACCCUUUUUCUUUCCUUCUGUUCUCCACAGAGGUGGAAAGAACCACCUUCUGUGUAAGCCAGCUCAGGAAGACAGAUCUGCACAGACGGAAUGGCCAGGAAGCCUGUGCCCUCCAAGUGCCUGGCAAGCCUGAUUUACGGAGGACCUACUUCAACAACCAGGACCGGCCGAUGCUCACCUUUGGGGGCCGGACCUGCGAAGAUUUAACAUACUUCCGCAGGCGACACAGAAGCAAACGCAUGGACUGAAACUUCUGGGAAGUUUCCUCACAGAAGGCGGACCCAGCCAGGAGAAAGAGAGGACCUCACCUUCAGUGAUACAAAUCUAACGACAACAAAAAAAAACCCCAGCAGCUAAAGGUUUCCUUCUGUUUGCACAGUGUUUCACAAUUUCAUAACCUUAUUUAAGUUUCCAGAGGUAAGUACUGUUUUGUCCACUCACUUUAUCAAUUAAAUACAAGGUUUCAUGAGGCUUACUGCCAGGCUGGCUCCAUUCGCACAACAGAAGACAGAGCGGGGUUCAGUUAGACCCGCCUUUGACUCACACUUCAGUAUUUGUACCACAGCUGUCAACUGCAACAAUGAAUUCAUCUCACAGAAACACUAACAUUUAGAAUGAAGAUUUCUUAUGAAAAAAACACAAGGAAACAGAUCUGUUUUUUAUAACAUUCUUCUGGCAAAAGAGGAUAUAAAAAUUGUUAUCAAUUAUGUAUAUCGCCACGAGACAUCCCAAGAAAUUCUAAUGCGAAUUCUCUGUAUGAAGCAUCAAGACUGUGGAUUAGAAUGUGAUGAAUAUAACUGUCAAGACAGGUGGGAGUUUUGGGGGGGAGCCCGUGAAGGCAAAGGGUCAGAGAUGGGUCCCCAAGUGACAACGAGGUUGGGAAGGUUGCAGAGAAGUUAUUUCAGAAGCAUGAAAUAUGUACCUACAAGUUUAAAAAAUAUAAGAAGAUAUUUUGGACAGAGAACAAAAUGGGGGUUGGGUUGAUGAGCCUAUUUAUUUGUAUCUGUGAAGACCCAUGUCCAACUACACUGUGUGCCAAGGCACAUAAUCUCUCCGUACUGGUUCCUUUGGCUCUUUCCAUUGCAUUCAAAAUGGUCUAUCAACAUUUUAUGAGCAAUUUGCAGUAUUUCAUGGAAUCGUUUGUUAAUGGGAGUGUUCAUGGGAUCUUGAAUUUGUUUUUGUAGCCAAUGCUUCCAUCUGCUCUAUGGAGGUAUCUUCUGGAAGAGAUUUCUGACACAUCCGAUAGUGGGAUAUCAAAGCAAUUUUGUGUUACUUUUAAAGAAAUUUGAUUGUGAUCAGCAAUAUCUACGCACGUGAAAUAUUACGUGAGUAUGGAAGGAACCUCAUUUGACUAUUUGUGGGAUUUUCAGCAUCCUUGUGAGACAAUGUAGGACUAGCAAAUGGUUCUCAGUCUUUCUGGAGAAGCUGGUAGACGCUAACUUGCAUCAAUGCGCAUAUCAAAUCAUUCAGUCUCACUCUUCAAAUAUGUAGAAUUAAGAUAAUUUUCAGCUAUUCCACCCAUAACAAUUGUUUUUAAAUUCAAAUCCAACAUUAAGAAGUUCAAAUCAUAUACCUACUCUGUUUUUAAAUUACUGAUGUGAAGUUAAAUUCUCUACCUUCCCAUUUUAGUCAAUAAACAUUUACUGAGUAUUUUCUGUUUUAGGUGCUGUGCUAGGCACUAGGGGGUGGGGAUGGUAUGACGGUAAAAAACUUCAAGUGGACAGACACUGAUCAGAGAAAUUAGUUCAACAUAAAAUUGCAGUUAUGAAGGAAAAUUGCUUAAUAUCAUGAGAAAAUAUAAUCACAGCACACUUGGAAAAAAAUCAUUCAGCUGCAGUACAGAGAAAUGAUAGGAAAGUGGUUAUAAGUGGAGGUGGGGCAAACAGCACAGAGGCUACUAGUAUUCUAGAAGCAAACAAGAUGAUGCGGGCUUGGACCAGCAUGGUGGUGGUGGGCAUGAAGCACAACUUGGUCUAAAAGAAUCAAAAAACCAUGUCAUAUUCUUGAGCCUGGUAUUCGGGUCCACCACAAACUAGCCUCUACUGAUCUUUCUCUGGACACUUUCUGCACCCUCCUGAGGCACUUGAGGCCUAAGCCUCGCUGAGGACAACUUAUUAUCAGCACACACCAAGUCAAUGCCCUUCACCGAACUGUUCCACUGGCUUGCUCCCUUCUCCCCUUUCUGGAUUGCCAGAUGCCGGGUAAAACGACCAUCUAUGGUCAGCGGCAGUUAAGUAGAUGACGACUAGACACCAACUCAGACUGGGAGCUUUGUAGCAAGUACUUUUUACAAGUUUUCUUAGUUUCAUCCAUGUUACUGCAACCGCCAUGAUUCUGUUCCUUUUCACUGCUGAACAGCGUUUCACGGUCUGAAGACAUUAUGGCUUAUCCCUUUGUGGAAGGGCAUCUGGGCUGUUUCCAGAUUCUGGCUCUCAGAAAUAAAGUCACUUUCAACACUGUUAAAUAAAGCUUUUUCUCAGUACAUAUUCUUAUUUCUCUGGGAUAAAAUUAUUAGGAGUAGAAUUACUGCUAUAUAGGAUACAUAUAUUUUCAACAUUUUUAAAGAAACUGCCAAACUUCUCAUCGUCAUGCUGCUCUAUUCAUGUAUGAAUUUUUUAGUUGCCCAAUAACCUUGUCAACAUUUGAUGUUGUUAAUUUUUAUUUUAGCCAUUCGAGUGCAAGUAUAGGAUAUCUCACCGAGGUUUUGAUCUGUAUUUGCACUUCCUCCAUGACCUAUGACUCUGACCACUUUUGCAUAUUCUUCAUGGCUGUUUGAAUAUCUACUUCUGUAAAAUUUCUGCUCUAGGUUUUCUUAUAAAAAUUGGGUUAUGUUUUUCUUGAUGAGUUGUAUAGUUUCUUUAUAUCGUAUAGAUAAAAGUCCUUUGUCAGAUGUAUGUGUUGCAAAGAUAUUUUCCUUGAGACUGUGGCUUAUUUAUUUUCUAAUGAUGUCCUCUGAUUAGAAGAUGUUUGAAAUUUUA